RNAcentral lists this ribosomal RNA (253 nucleotides) under uncultured prokaryote. Its description in RNAcentral is "partial 16S ribosomal RNA". It matches the Rfam family "Bacterial small subunit ribosomal RNA", at positions 524 to 776 of the family's 1533-position model. The record is from RNAcentral.
UACAGAGGUCUCAACCGUUGUUCGGAUUCAUUGGGCGUAAAGGGUGCGUAGGCGGUCGCGCAAGUCGGAUGUGAAAUCUUAGGGCUCAACCCUGAAACUGCAUUCGAUACUGCGUGGCUCGAGUACUGGAGAGGAGACUGGAAUUUACGGUGUAGCAGUGAAAUGCGUAGAUAUCGUAAGGAAGGCCAGUGGCGAAGGCGGGUCUCUGGACAGUUCCUGACACUGAGGCACGAAGGCCAGGGGAGCAAACGGG